Long non-coding RNA from Salvia splendens (bonfire salvia), 352 nucleotides. RefSeq lists it as uncharacterized. The record is from RefSeq and is a predicted model, not a curated record. Lineage: Eukaryota; Viridiplantae; Streptophyta; Magnoliopsida; Lamiales; Lamiaceae. The transcript is spliced from 3 exons.
AGCUUCAAGAACCAUUUUUUUUUCUUCCUCAACAUCCGUCUGCAAUUGAAGGUGAGACUUCGCAAGGGAAUCGAGAUACCAAAGGGAAGGAAGUGUAGAGAAUUAUUCAAUUGAGGUUGAGCGGCGACGAGAGUACGGUGGUGUUGAGCAAGUAAAUUGGUAAAUGAACUGUUGUUUUUGAAUUAUGGGUGUCGUUGUGUCUUCACACAUGACGUCACUCUUACUCUUGAUCGUUUCCGCUGUGACAUUUCUUUCACUUAUCGUUUAUUGGGCUUGCAACCUGAAUUAUUUGGAUAUUGAAUAUUUUGGGAUUUUACUAAUUUAUGUCAAAUUCUUGGUCGUUUUAUUUGAA